GUACACGCUGUGACUAGCAUAUCAAUAAGCGGAGGAAAAGAAACUAACAAGGAUUCCCCUAGUAACGGCGAGUGAAGCGGGAAGAGCUCAAAUUUGAAAUCUUAAAGGGUUUCCCUUUACGAAUUGUAGUUUAAAGAAGUGUUUUCUGUUGAGGUUUUGGUAAAAGUUCUUUGGAAUAGGACAUCAUAGAGGGUGAGAAUCCCGUAUUUGACCUUUACUUUCAACUUUGUGAUACACUUUCAAAGAGUCGGAUUGUUUGGGAAUGCAGUCCAAAAUGGGUGGUAAAUUUCAUCUAAAGCUAAAUAUUGGCGAGAGACCGAUAGCGAACAAGUACCGUGAGGGAAAGAUGAAAAGAACUUUGAAAAGAGAGUUAAACAGUACGUGAAAUUGUCAAAAGGGAAGCGUUUGACACCAGUGUUGUUUUUCUGAAAAUCAAUUAAAGAACUGUUUAUGCUAAGCUGUUUAGACUUUAUCAGCUAAUCUGUUUAGUUUUGAGCUUUUCUUUAAUGCACUUUUCAGUUAACAAGUCAACAUCAAUUUCUUUUGCUGUAAAAAAGCUUGAGGAAGGUGGCUUGAGAUUCGUCUUAAGUGUUUAUAGCCUCUUGCCUAUGCAGUCGGAGAGAUUGAGGUCUGCAGCGUAGAUCCUUCGGGGCUAAAUGCAUUUGUGCUAAGUUAUAGCAUUUUAUAGACAACUUGUUGACUAUGAUUUGUCUUGUAGCUUACUCGCUUAUGUUAUUUUACCUACGCUUAGGAUGUUGAGUCGUAGAGCACGCAG
Molecule: ribosomal RNA, 775 nt
Filed under: uncultured Neocallimastigales
Lineage: Eukaryota; Fungi; Neocallimastigomycota; Neocallimastigomycetes; Neocallimastigales
Description: partial large subunit ribosomal RNA
Rfam family: Eukaryotic large subunit ribosomal RNA
Source: RNAcentral